RNAcentral lists this ribosomal RNA (506 nucleotides) under uncultured bacterium. Its description in RNAcentral is "partial 16S ribosomal RNA". It matches the Rfam family "Bacterial small subunit ribosomal RNA", at positions 29 to 523 of the family's 1533-position model. The record is from RNAcentral.
AGUGAACGCUGGCGGUAGGCCUAACACAUGCAAGUCGAACGGCAGCACAGGAGAGCUCGCUCUCUGGGUGGCGAGUGGCGGGCGGGUGAGGAAUACAUCGGAAUCUACUCUGUCGUGGGGGAUAACGUAGGGAAACUUACGCUAAUACCGCAUACGACCUACGGGUGAAAGCAGGGGAUCUUCGGACCUUGCGCGAUUGAAUGAGCCGAUGUCGGAUUAGCUAGUUGGCGGGGUAAAGGCCCACCAAGGCGACGAUCCGUAGCUGGUCUGAGAGGAUGAUCAGCCACACUGGAACUGAGACACGGUCCAGACUCCUACGGGAGGCAGCAGUGGGGAAUAUUGGACAAUGGGCGCAGGCCUGAUCCAGCCAUACCGCGUGGGUGAAGAAGGCCUUCGGGUUGUAAAGCCCUUUUGUUGGGAAAGAAAUCCAGCUGGCUAAUACCCGGUUGGGAUGACGGUACCCAAAGAAUAAGCACCGGCUAACUUCGUGCCAGCCGCCGCCGUAA